UACGUAGGAGACAAGCGUUGUCCGGAAUUACUGGGUGUAAAGCGCGUGUAGGCGGUAGGCCAAGUCUGCUGUGAAAUCGCCCGGCUCAACUGGGCGCGGUCGGUGGAAACUGGUCAACUGGAGGACGGUAGAGGCGAGUGGAAUUCCCGGUGUAGUGGUGAAAUGCGUAGAGAUCGGGAGGAACACCAGUGGCGAAGGCGGGUCUCUGGGCCGAUACUGACGCUGAGGAGCGAAAGCGUGGGGAGCGAACAGG
Molecule: ribosomal RNA, 253 nt
Filed under: uncultured bacterium
Lineage: Bacteria
Description: partial 16S ribosomal RNA
Rfam family: Bacterial small subunit ribosomal RNA
Source: RNAcentral